UAGUCUCUCCAAGCUUAGUCAGCUUCCAUUUUCUCUAGGAGUUAACUUCUGCUUGUGUAUUCACAUACUCAGCGGUAACAACCAUACUUUGAAUUUUAUAAUAUUUGACAGUUCAGAUAUUUUCUGAUUAAUUAAUAUUACAGAACAUACUUGAAAGAAAUCCUGGCAUGUUUCUCUCAAGGAUGAAGAGUAGGAUUAUACCGUCCUCAUCUUUGCUGCCAUUUUGAUUCAAAGAAGUAGAAGAAGAGAUCAGGAGAGUGGCUACAAGAUGCAGCAAAAUGGAAAUGACCAGGGCUUCAGGAGACCAGUGAUCUAGCCCUAAAUUUUCCCCUACCUCCCUGAGGCGAGAGAGGUUUUUUCCUCUUUGGGUUUCCCAGAGUCACAUGAAGGAAGAAUAGCUUAAUUUACAUUUAUAUCUAUUUAAAUUUCAGACAAAAUUUCUGGCAAAAUUAAA
Lutra lutra (Eurasian river otter) is the source of this 454-nucleotide long non-coding RNA. RefSeq lists it as uncharacterized. The transcript has 4 exons. The record is from RefSeq and is a predicted model, not a curated record. Lineage: Eukaryota; Metazoa; Chordata; Mammalia; Carnivora; Mustelidae.